CGUGUCUUCUGCUACUAUUGUGGACUGGAAUGCUGCUGUCAAAAAACAAAUAAGCAAAUGCACAAGCCGCUUUUUCAGUCAUGACCACUUGUUUCCCUCGCACAUUGAUAUUAAAUCAUUACACUUUAUUAUUUGAGACUUUCAUUUAAACUGUCACAUUUUCGUUUUGUGGCUGCCGAGUUUGCGUUUGCAGCACUGAAGCCAGCAUGCUUCAUGGUGUACAAUGUUGAACGAAACAGACAUGCAAGACUUAGCACUGGCAUCGCAUGGUUGCCGCAUUUCAUUUUCUUCAUGCGGACAUGAAGACAUAGCUUCAAGCCAGAACAUAAUUGAUGGGUCAAGGAGCACAUUUUGGACAACCACAGGCCUCUAUCCACAUUCUUUUAUAAUAUCAUUCCCAAAACCUAUCAACCUGAGUACCAUCACUGUAAGGAGUUAUUGUGUAAAGAACAUGCUGAUAGAAGCAUGUUCAGGAAAUUUGUCUACAGGUUUUGUUGAAUUAAAAACGCUUGAUAUGCAGUUAACAGAUCUUCAUCACCAAGUUUCAAAGGUGAAUCUUGAUUCAACUACUGCUCAUCAUUUGCGGUUUACUAUUAAAGAUGGAUUUCAAGAAUUUUGCGCCAUUUACAAGGUGGAAGUGUUUGGCACCCAGUUACAACAUCAUUUGUAACCACAAGCCCUCUCAGACUCCAGACCUGUCAGAAUGGAGGGGGUAAUAAGAGCAGAGCUCCUGACUCCCACCAGAGACAGUGUUCGGUGACAGCCUCUUUGACAAAUUCCGCCGCUGUCCGCGGCAUGUCCAAUAUGCGGCCAAAGCGACGUGUGUCCGUGUCCAGGGGCCUUCGGGGCCUUGGCGGCGUGUUGGCGGCCUGUUGGCAACCCUGCUUGGCUCGGCGUGGCGCGUGGAACAACGGGGGCCUAGCGCCACCCUGUGACGUGCCUAGCCGCGCCCGCUGCCCGGUGGUGGAGUGGGAUUAAGUUCUCGUCAACACCGGUGGAGUGGACUUCCCUGACCGUGGACGACAGGUGGAGAGGGGGCCGCGUCCGAGGCGCCCCGCGUGGCAGUGCGAGAGAG
Thrips palmi is the source of this 1075-nucleotide RNA transcript. It is a transcript of the gene named intraflagellar transport protein 25 homolog, with no coding region annotated. Lineage: Eukaryota; Metazoa; Arthropoda; Insecta; Thysanoptera; Thripidae. The record is from RefSeq and is a predicted model, not a curated record. The transcript has 7 exons.